This 1312-nucleotide ribosomal RNA is filed under the name Mesembrius sp. Its description in RNAcentral is "16S ribosomal RNA". The record is from RNAcentral. Lineage: Eukaryota; Metazoa; Arthropoda; Insecta; Diptera; Syrphidae.
UUAUUAAUAUUAAUAUAGUAUUAAAAAUAAUUAUAUAGUUUAAUAGUUUUAGUAUUUUAUAAAGAAAAAAUAAUUUUAAUAAUAGUUUAUUAGUAUUGUGAAAUAAAAUUGAAAUAUAAUGAAAAAUUUUUAUGUUAAAAGAAAAUUUAAUUUAUUGUAUCUUGUGUAUCAGAGUAUAUUAAAUAAAUAAUAUUAAUUAAUAUUUUUCUCGAUUUUAAAAGAUUUAAUAAAUUAUAAAUGUUAAUGUGACAAAAUUAUAUUUAAUAAUUUAUUUGAAAUGAAAUGUUAUUCGUUUUUAAAGGUAUCUAGUUUUUUAAGAAAUAAAUUUAAUUUAGUUUUUAAAAUUUAUUUAUUUAUUUAUUUUAAAUAAAUAAUUUUUAAAAUGCAAUAUUUUAUGGGAUAAGCUAUAAAAUAAAUUUUUAUAAAUAAUGAAUAAUAUUUAAAAUUUUAUAUGUUUAAAAGUAUCAAUUUUUAUUAAGUUUGUUAUAAAUUAAUUUUUUUAAUAAAUUAUUUAUUAUAUUUUAAUUUUUUAUUAAAAUAUUUAUUUUAAUAUUAAAAAUAAAGUAAUAAUGAUAUAAUUAGUAUAUUUUUUUUUAAUUAUAUAUUUUUAAAUGAAAAGUUUGUGUAAAGAACUCGGCAAAAAUAAUGCUCGCCUGUUUAACAAAAACAUGUCUUUUAGAAAUUAAUUUAAAGUCUAACCUGCCCACUGAAUUUUUAAAUGGCCGCAGUAUACUAACUGUGCAAAGGUAGCAUAAUCAUUAGUCUUUUAAUUGAAGGCUGGAAUGAAUGGUUGGACGAAGUAUUAACUGUUUCAUUAAAAUUUUUAAUAGAAUUUUAUUUUUUAGUCAAAAAGCUAAAAUAAAUUUAAAAGACGAGAAGACCCUAUGAAUCUUUAUAUAUUGUAAAUUUUAAUUUUGUAGAUUUUUUUAAUUAUAAUUUUAUUAAUAUAUUUUAUUGGGGUGAUAUUAAAAUUUAAAAAACUUUUAAAAUUUAAAUCAUUGAUUUAUGAAUAAAUGAUCCAUUUUUAGUGAUUAAAAAUUUAAGUUACUCUAGGGAUAACAGCGUAAUUUUUUUGGAGAGUUCAUAUCGAUAAAAAAGAUUGCGACCUCGAUGUUGGAUUAAGAUAUAAUUUUAGGUGUAGCCGUUUAAAUUUUAAGUCUGUUCGACUUUUGAAAUCUUACAUGAUCUGAGUUCAAACCGGCGUAAGCCAGGUUGGUUUCUAUCUUUAAUAAUUUAAUAUAUUUUAGUACGAAAGGAUUAAAUAUAUAAAUAAUAAUAUUUUAUAAAUUAGAAUUUAAGUAAGUAUUUAUAA